Non-coding RNA from Pelobates cultripes (western spadefoot toad), 249 nucleotides. The record is from the annotation of a GenBank genome assembly. NCBI's taxonomy places the organism in Eukaryota, Metazoa, Chordata, Amphibia, Anura, Pelobatidae.
GAUGGAAUGAUAUCAGAAAAAUGUGUUCUCUAACAGACGCCCUCCUUGCACACUACACUCAAUGCCAAUGACUACCAAUGGUCUCCUAUCGAGACAUGUUCUUAAAAAGCAUUCAUUAUGCCUACUAUUCUCCACACCACCUUUGUCUCAUGGUUAGAAAAGACCCAGCAUCCUGUUUCAAAUGCACACACAAAAAUUCAGACUUAUGUUACUGUCUAUGGGAGUGCAGCAUAAUCAAUUGUUUUUGAG